UCCUAUUUUUUGCAAUCGCUAAAUACUUAGGAAGAUGUGUUUUCUUUUUAACAUUAUUAUACAUAUAUAAUCUAUGAUUGUUCUAUCUACCGGUUACUAUUAGCACCUCACUCCAUGGUUGUGCAUGCAUGCAUGUGGUUAAAACAUUCUAUUAAAACAUGGUGCAACAACUAUUGUGUGCCCAUAGUUUAUUCCAAUCACUCUUCAUCUAGUUGACAUUUUUCACACAUCCAUAUCUAACUUAUCGAUUCCCCUACCAGCCAAAUGUUUAUCAGUUCAAUACGCCAGUGAGCGCCGCGCCUUGAUAAGGGGUUUGACUCAGUUCAAGCCUCUCCUUGUACUUCUAAUAUGUUCGUUGAACUUCUCGAGGUUUGUUUUUAUACUUGUUAGCCUUUUUCUGUAUUUUCAAUAAUUUUACAUUUCU
This 424-nucleotide long non-coding RNA is filed under the name Hordeum vulgare. Its description in RNAcentral is "long non-coding RNA (HVUL_LNC019680)". The record is from RNAcentral. Lineage: Eukaryota; Viridiplantae; Streptophyta; Magnoliopsida; Poales; Poaceae.